This 468-nucleotide ribosomal RNA is filed under the name uncultured bacterium. Its description in RNAcentral is "partial 16S ribosomal RNA". It matches the Rfam family "Bacterial small subunit ribosomal RNA", at positions 28 to 507 of the family's 1533-position model. The record is from RNAcentral.
GACGAACGCUGGCGGCGUGCUUAACACAUGCAAGUCGAACGGAAAGGCCCUGCUUUUGUGGGGUGCUCGAGUGGCGAACGGGUGAGUAACACGUGAGUAACCUGCCCUUGACUUUGGGAUAACUUCAGGAAACUGGGGCUAAUACCGGAUAGGAGCUCCUGCUGCAUGGUGGGGGUUGGAAAGUUUCGGCGGUUGGGGAUGGACUCGCGGCUUAUCAGCUUGUUGGUGGGGUAGUGGCUUACCAAGGCUUUGACGGGUAGCCGGCCUGAGAGGGUGACCGGCCACAUUGGGACUGAGAGACGGCCCAGACUCCUACGGGAGGCAGCAGUGGGGAAUAUUGCACAAUGGGCGGAAGCAUGAUGCAGCAACGCCGCGUGCGGGAUGACGGCCUUCGGGUUGUAAACCGCUUUAGCCUGUGACGAAGCGUGAGUGACGGUAAUGGGUAAAGAAGCACCGACUAACUACGUG